UACGAAGGACCCAAGCGUUAUCCGGAUUUAUUGGGUUUAAAGGGUGCGUAGGCGGGUUAUUAAGUCAGGGGUGAAAGCCUUCAGCUUAACUGAAGAAUUGCCAUUGAUACUGACGAUCUUGAGUAUGAUUGAGGUGGGCGGAAUGUGUCAUGUAGCGGUGAAAUGCUUAGAUAUGACACAGAACACCGAUUGCGAAGGCAGCUCACUAAGUCAUAACUGACGCUGAUGCACGAAAGCGUGGGGAGCAAACAGG
RNAcentral lists this ribosomal RNA (253 nucleotides) under uncultured bacterium. RNAcentral describes it as "partial 16S ribosomal RNA". It matches the Rfam family "Bacterial small subunit ribosomal RNA", at positions 524 to 776 of the family's 1533-position model. The record is from RNAcentral.